RNAcentral lists this long non-coding RNA (646 nucleotides) under Physcomitrium patens. RNAcentral describes it as "long non-coding RNA (PPAT_LNC001571)". Lineage: Eukaryota; Viridiplantae; Streptophyta; Bryopsida; Funariales; Funariaceae. The record is from RNAcentral.
CGGCGCCCACGAGCCUUCUCAAACUUGCGUCCUUUGGAUCGCACAUAGGGCUUGGCAUGACUUUGUGGUACACCAGGUGCCCCGAAGUGCUUCACGGCUUCACGAGCAUUCUUAGGUCCCCUCAGCAAUACCUUCACAGUAGAAAAAGUGUGAUUACUACUCCGAUGACCAUACAGAAGGCACUAGAGCUCGUUAAACAAAUCAUAUACACUCCGGAAUGAUAUGAACCUAAUAAUAAAUCAGAGGACAAAAAUCUUAGUGGUACAAGAUGACACAGAUGAUCACCACGCAGGGUCAGACUAGAAAGCCUUGCAUUAAUCGGAGCAGGUGGCAACAAACUACUACUAAGAAUCAACAAAAAUGUAUCUAAGACCUAUUUGUUCUCGCCUUGCUCACCGACCGAACACUUGGCCUAACUGGGACUGCUAAUAAGAAAAGGAAUAGAUUGACUAACACUCGUAGAAUUUCAGCAAGUAAGCUUACGCAAUUGGAUCCAGUCGGAGCUCUCAGGGCAAGCUGGUCGAAAGUCAAAACCUCCCCUCCGCUCUUCAAGAUACGAGCACGAGCUGUUUCGGUAAAUCGAAGAGCAGCCACCUUCAAAGCUGGAACUUCGUAGAUUCUAGUGUCGUCAGUGACAGUACCCACG